UAACCUAACUACUGUUUAGAGGAACCUAGGUAAUCUGUGUAUGUGUUUACACGGACUUAGGUAAUUCCGUGGUGUUAACUAACGUUUAUAACUUCACUGAUAAAACUAUUGGCCUCAAAUGAAUAGCAUUUCGAUGGGCUGUAAAACAAAACAAAAACAGGAGAUAAAUCUAGGACUUGUGUGUGUAAACAACAGUUUUUAGAGGAAACAAGAAUAUCUUGGGAUGUAUGUAUGCAAUCUGUCUCUAUCACACACACAUAGGUGACAAAUGUACAUGUACAUAUGUAACCGUCAUAUAUAACAAGGCACAUUAUUUCAUGUGAAUCCUUAGUUCCCAACUGGACAUCACCAACAAUAGGAAGCAGUAUGAUGUUGUCCACGCUCAUAUCAUACAAUUACAAGGCAUAAAUUGUGUAGUGGAACUUGACUGGGGUCGAUCGCCAGUGAUCAGGUAGCUCUAUUGAAUUGUUAGAUCAUCCGUAUAGAGUUAAGAGGGUCCCAGGUUCGACUCCGGUCUGACCGUUGCAUUUAUCAUUCUCCUGUUACACCUGUAUCUGAAUAAGUCAACUCCAAAUAUUAACGGUUCAGGGCAUUGCCCCAUCAAAGUUUUUCAUUGUUAGGGGCCAGAGGUCAAGUAUAUGUCACAGAUAAUGUGACCAAUCAUUAUGUUUUUACAGAUAUAUUGUGGGUCGCAAAGCCAAUUUGGCUUACAAGUUUGAUCACAAAGGAGUGAUCACAGCACCACCUGAAGAAGGGGAGAUAGAUCUUGAUAAAUACGUGGAGAUUGGAUUGGAGGCCGGGGCUGAAGACGUCACGUUAGAAUCUGACCAGGAAGGGAAAUCUUUUAUACAGUUCAUUUCCCAACCUGGUGAACUAAAAAUGGUGACCAAUAAGAUUGAGAAAAUGGGUUUAAAUGGAAUACAAAGUCAAGAAGUUUACAGUCCGAUUCAUCCUUUGAUGGUCAGCCAAGAGACAGCCGACAAAGUUAACUCUUUCUUUGAACAAAUGAUGUCUAAGCAUGAAUGUAUAGAGGAUGUGACAUUUAACUUUGAAAUUAUGGAUGAAGAUAAAUAAAAAAGUUUAUUCAGUUUGCUUGUUUUUUUCCUGAUCAAUACCUGGAAGCUGUUGAUAUAUCUACAAAACGUUGAUCUAGUAAUGUCUUUUAUUAUGCUGCAGAUUUUGCUUUCGUAAUUUGUUUCACUUACCCUGGAAAUAAUUUGUAAAAUUACCAAACUUUUUAAAAACUAAUUCCAAUGUAUUUUUUCUCUAAUGAAGCAAUUUAUGAUUUCCAUUAUAAAAGUUGUCGUAUAUUCCUGCAGCAAUUUGUCUUCUCCACGAUAACAAAAAGAUGCUUCAGAUUCACCUGUCUGUAUUGGCGGGAAAGGCGAUGCAUUUCCUGCUUUCAUGUGUCGCAGACAAAAACGAAGUUAACCAUCUGUACAUUAGUUCUUCAAUACUUUAUUAAUAAAUAUAAAAUGUGGUAGUUCUUUAUCAGCGAUUUUUACUCAUUCUGUAUAUAGGCACAAAGUAAAGAUGAUUUAUUUAUAUUAAAUUACCUGAUGCAAUAUGUAAUAUUUUCAUACCUAUUGAAAAAUUCAGCUGAAAUAGAAAAAGGUGUUUCAUGAAAUUUUGUGUCCGAGCAAUUAAAUAACGACAGUAGCCACAGGUGAUUAGGCUACUGCAAAGUUUCGCUUGUAAAAACGUAAAAAA
Molecule: long non-coding RNA, 1710 nt
Organism: Mizuhopecten yessoensis (Yesso scallop)
Lineage: Eukaryota; Metazoa; Mollusca; Bivalvia; Pectinida; Pectinidae
Exons: 2
Source: RefSeq, a predicted model, not a curated record